Molecule: long non-coding RNA, 389 nt
Organism: Pleuronectes platessa (European plaice)
Lineage: Eukaryota; Metazoa; Chordata; Actinopteri; Pleuronectiformes; Pleuronectidae
Exons: 2
Source: RefSeq, a predicted model, not a curated record
GGCUUACACCCACAUACCCGGUAAAUUACACACUUUGAUGUUCUGCUCCUUCUCCUGACGGUCACGGUAACGAUGUCUGCGCCUCCGUUUCUGUGGAUGUCCAGCGUGAGACACAACUUGAAUCCAACCAGACUGAACACUGACUCCAGGUACAGACCUGUUUUCAUUACUUACAAAGUAUUGCACAUAAUACAUAAUGUGUUAAAUUAUAAUGCAAUACUUUUAAUGUGAAAUAGCUCCAUACUAAACAUUCAUUGUCAUGGUAGUGCACGUUUUAAUCCAAAAGCAUAUUCAAAUACAUAGUUGAAUAUCCACCGAAAAUAAGAAUACACACUUUGUUCAUAUGUAACUCUAAUAAAUACUGUAUAAGUUAUAUUUUGCUCCGGAAU